This is a long non-coding RNA of Gallus gallus (chicken), 1617 nucleotides long. NCBI's taxonomy places the organism in Eukaryota, Metazoa, Chordata, Aves, Galliformes, Phasianidae. The record is from Ensembl.
CAUGAGAUGAAUACUGUAUUUCACACAGUCACUUUUAUGUCUAGCUUCUGUCUGGACUUUUUGUCUAAGGUGACUAUUUACUUAAAUACAUAUUCUACUAUAUCUUGUACUAUUUAGGUGAGGUGUCAGAAAAGUCUGUUUUAACAUAACACCUAUUUAUUUAAACAUCUUUUGCAUGCAGCUCAAAUAUGUACUGCUUUCAGAUGGAGCAGGAGGAAGGCAAACAGAUCUGCAUCCCAAAUGACUCUACUCCCCAUGGGCAGGCAGCAAGCAGAUGCAUCUGCAUGAGCCUUUUCCUCAGGUGGUGCCUGGCUGUCACUGGAAAUUUUUCAGCAUGGUAACCACUAGGUAUGCUGUCAGGAAGCUGAUGUCAUUUCCUCUCAUCAUGGCAUCAGAAAAAAAUUAUAGGUUGCUUUGAAAAUAAUGCCUCUUAUUUAUUUCUGUGAAUCUACAACAGCUACAAAGGGCACAAUAAUACUAUUUGAUAGAGCAAAUUCUCAGCUACCAAACACUGUUUUUCAGCCUAGUCACAACCAACCAUUAGCUAUGUAUUUUCACCAGCCAUGAACAAGAACAGCAGGCCACUCUCAUAAAAAUCUGCAACAGUGGAGGUGACCUACUGUCAUUGCUGCUGAAAUGCAUCAGCUCACUGUGCUCACAUCCACUACUUGGUCUCCAUCAAUGUUCAGUAAGCAUCAAUAAAUGUCAGCGGGUGCCAUGUCUUCCAUAUGGAAGAACUCUAAUGUCUGGUGUCUGACAUGAAAGUGCAUAUGAAGCAUUUUGUCAGACUGUCCCCCUGCUGCCAUCUGUCACAUGGCAACGAAGUGUAACAUAUUGGUGGGAAGGUUCAACCUCUACUGCCAAUGCCACCAACAUCUGCCUCCAACAUCAUAAAACAUCAUAAAAAAGGGGCAUUAUUUUCUGAGCAGCCUCCAUAGUAUGCUGUUUCCUCACUCGGAGUUCUGUGCCAGCCUGUCACUUCAUAUCCUUAGGGUCAGUGUGCAUUAGCUGUGGGCUCAAGAGAGAAGGAAGCAACUGAAAGAGGCAUCUCUUUUCCAGUUCUGCCUCAGGUGAGGUGAGAAAGUGACCUGGCUAUACCAAGCAAGGUCUCAGGCUUCCUCUGUGUUUGGCAGUAUAUGGGACAAUGGCAUUUUUCCCUGUUGUUUCACACUGUCAAACAUCAAAACUGCAUUUAUCAGUGAGCUUCACUUUAUUCUAAAAGACUCUGAAUUCAUUAUUCUUUCCUUGUUCCAGUGGGUGCGCUUCAAGCUAAUUCUAAGGCAAUGGGAGCAAUAUGUACUUACUGCCCUCCCUACCCCAUACUCUCUGCGUAUCCUGAACUGAUAGAUAUGGAUGAUGUUGAAGCAAAUGAGCUUUUUUCCAUCUAAGAACCAGACCCUUUAAAUUGGUUGUACAAUGACAGACAUUUGUAGAACAUGUGGUACAAAGUAGUAAUUCCUACUACUGGGGAGCUUAGCAGUAAAUCCAGAGUAGUGAUCCCGGAUUUCUUUGUGGUGCGUACUCUAAUGUAUCCCAGCUCUGUGUGCAUGCACACAUUUAUCUUGUGGACAGUGAAUUAAUAGAAUUAUAUUUUGAAAAGCUGUUUUGAAGUCUUAG